AACGAACGCUGGCGGCAUGCCUAACACAUGCAAGUCGAACGAGAUCUUCGGGUCUAGUGGCGCACGGGUGCGUAACGCGUGGGAAUCUGCCCUUUGGUUCGGAGUAACAGUUGGAAACGACUGCUAAUACCGGAUGAUGACGAAAGUCCAAAGAUUUAUCGCCAGAGGAUGAGCCCGCGUAGGAUUAGCUAGUUGGUGUGGUAAAGGCGCACCAAGGCGACGAUCCUUAGCUGGUCUGAGAGGAUGAUCAGCCACACUGGGACUGAGACACGGCCCAGACGCCUACGGGAGGCAGCAGUGGGGAAUAUUGGACAAUGGGCGAAAGCCUGAUCCAGCAAUGCCGCGUGAGUGAUGAAGGCCUUAGGGUUGUAAAGCUCUUUUACCCGGGAUGAUAAUGACAGUACCGGGAGAAUAAGCUCCGGCUAACUCCGUGCCAGCCGCCGCCGUAA
Molecule: ribosomal RNA, 449 nt
Filed under: uncultured bacterium
Lineage: Bacteria
Description: partial 16S ribosomal RNA
Rfam family: Bacterial small subunit ribosomal RNA
Source: RNAcentral